ACAUGCAAGUCGAACGGACUUGUGGGGCUUGCUCCACAAGUUAGUGGCAGACGGGUGAGUAACGCGUGGGAAUGUACCUUUUGGUUCGGAAUAACUUCGGGAAACUGAAGCUAAUACCGGAUAAGCCCGUGAGGGGAAAGAUUUAUCGCCAAAAGAGCAGCCCGCGUUAGAUUAGGUAGUUGGUGGGGUAAAGGCCUACCAAGCCUACGAUCUAUAGCUGGUCUGAGAGGAUGAUCAGCCACACUGGGACUGAGACACGGCCCAGACUCCUACGGGAGGCAGCAGUGGGGAAUAUUGGACAAUGGGGGAAACCCUGAUCCAGCAAUGCCGCGUGUGUGAUGAAGGCCUUCGGGUUGUAAAGCACUUUUGUCAGGGACGAUGAUGACGGUACCUGACGAAUAAGCUCCGGCUAACUUCGUGCCAGCAGCCGCGGUAAUACGAGGGGAGCUAGCGUUGUUCGGAAUUACUGGGCGUAAAGGGCGUGUAGGCGGUACCAUAAGUCAGAUGUGAAAGCCCUGGGCUUAACCUAGGAGGUGCAUUUGAUACUGUGGAACUAGAGAUCGAGAGAGGUAAGUGGAAUUACGAGUGUAGAGGUGAAAUUCGUAGAUAUUCGUAAGAACACCAGUGGCGAAGGCGGCUUACUGGCUCGAUACUGACGCUAAGGCGCGAAAGUGUGGGGAGCAAACAGGAUUAGAUACCCUGGUAGUCCACGCCCUAAACGAUGUCAACUAGUUGUUGGGGAUUCAUUUCCUUAGUAACGUAGCUAACGCGUGAAGUUG
RNAcentral lists this ribosomal RNA (779 nucleotides) under uncultured Pseudomonadota bacterium. Its description in RNAcentral is "bacterial SSU rRNA". It matches the Rfam family "Bacterial small subunit ribosomal RNA", at positions 53 to 867 of the family's 1533-position model. Lineage: Bacteria; Pseudomonadati; Pseudomonadota. The record is from RNAcentral.